UAGGCUCUGGGAUGAUGCUGGGGAGGAAAAUACAGCCCCUCUGAGUGGACACGGCACGUGGGCUUUCACCAGCAGACGCCCAGCGUGGUCCCCAGCACAUCAGUUCGGCUCUCCCCAGACUCUAAGCAGGGGUUAAAACACGCAUAUCAACAGCAGACCAUUUAUUUCUGAGUCAUCAACACCCGGCCUGAUGCAGGCUCUCUUCUGUGGAAGACGGACAGGAUGCCGAGAGAAAGGUUACCUGCCGUGGACUUUC
RNAcentral lists this long non-coding RNA (256 nucleotides) under Homo sapiens (human). Its description in RNAcentral is "HSALNT0170057". The record is from RNAcentral. Lineage: Eukaryota; Metazoa; Chordata; Mammalia; Primates; Hominidae.